UUCAGACGUGUGCCUUCUGAUCUCAUCCUCCUGACCUUAUCCCAAUUUUACUUGGGGUCGGCGCAGCAUCUCUUCUUCUUCCAUACUUCUCUGUUGGACGUCAUCUCACUAGUAAUAUUCUUUCUAACCAUAUCGUCUCACACAAUCCAUCCAUCCUUUCUUUGGUCGUCCCCUACCUCUAUAUCCAUCUACAUCCAUUCUCAAGACCUUUCUCA
Molecule: long non-coding RNA, 215 nt
Organism: Vanessa atalanta (red admiral)
Lineage: Eukaryota; Metazoa; Arthropoda; Insecta; Lepidoptera; Nymphalidae
Exons: 3
Source: RefSeq, a predicted model, not a curated record